RNAcentral lists this unclassified non-coding RNA (249 nucleotides) under uncultured fungus. Its description in RNAcentral is "partial contains 18S rRNA, ITS1 and 5.8S rRNA". The record is from RNAcentral. Lineage: Eukaryota; Fungi.
AGGUGAACCUGCGGAAGGAUCAUUAUCUGCUAUGUUUUAGGGGCCUCAGGGGCCUGCGCUCUGGUGAGUUGCGGGCCCUUUCGUGCAAACCCAUCCGUGUACCUUUCCUGUUGCCUCCGUGGGUGCCCUCGGCGCCCGCGGGGGGUUAUAGAGAAAACUAUUUUUUGGCUUCUUCAUGUCAUCAUGUCUGAAAGUAACCAGAAAACAAAAAGGAUUCAAAACUUUCAACAACGGACCUCUUGGUUCUCG